GUGUCCUACGGGAGGCAGCAGUAGGGAAUUUUCGUCAAUGGGCGCAAGCCUGAACGAGCAAUGCCGCGUGAACGAGGAAGGUCUUCGGAUCGUAAAGGUCUGUUGAAGGGGAAAAAGAGCGGAGAGAGGAAAUGGUCUCCGAUUGAUAUUACCCUUCGAGGAAGUCACGGCUAACUACGUGCCAGCAGCCGCGGUAAUACGUAGGUGGCGAGCGUUAUCCGGAAUGAUUGGGCGUAAAGGGUGCGUAGGCGGCCUGCUAAGUCUGGAGUGAACGGUACUGGCUCAACCGGUACCG
RNAcentral lists this ribosomal RNA (295 nucleotides) under uncultured bacterium. RNAcentral's name for it is "partial 16S ribosomal RNA". It matches the Rfam family "Bacterial small subunit ribosomal RNA", at positions 334 to 621 of the family's 1533-position model. The record is from RNAcentral.